Non-coding RNA from Acanthosepion pharaonis, 82 nucleotides. NCBI's taxonomy places the organism in Eukaryota, Metazoa, Mollusca, Cephalopoda, Sepiida, Sepiidae. The record is from the annotation of a GenBank genome assembly.
CGUUCCCGUACGAGCACCGAAGUUAAGCAAAGUCGAGCCUGGUCAGUACCUGGGUGGGCGACCGCUUGGGAAUGCCAGGUGU